CGGACGGGUGAGUAACGCGUGAGAAUCUAGCUUCAGGUUCGGGACAACAUUGGGAAACCGAUGCUAAUACCGGAUGUGCCGAGAGGUGAAAGAUUUAUCGCCUGAGAAUGAGCUCGCGGCCGAUUAGUUAGUUGGUGGGGUAAAGGCCUACCAAGACGGCGAUCGGUAGCUGGUCUGAGAGGAUGACCAGCCACACUGGGACUGAGACACGGCCCAGACUCCUACGGGAGGCAGCAGUGGGGAAUUUUCCGCAAUGGGCGCAAGCCUGACGGAGCAAGACCGCGUGGGGGAAGAAGGCCCUUGGGUUGUAAACCCCUUUUCUCAGGGAAGAAGUGCUGACGGUACCUGAGGAAUCAGCUUCGGCUAACUCCGUGCCAGCAGCCGCGGUAAUACGGAGGAGGCAAGCGUUAUCCGGAAUUAUUGGGCGUAAAGCGUCCGCAGGUGGUGGGGCAAGUCGGCGGUUAAAGACUGGGGCUUAACUCCAGAAAGGCCGUGGAAACUGCACCACUAGAGGGCAGUAGGGGUAGAGGGAAUUCCCGGUGUAGCGGUGAAAUGCGUAGAGCUCGGGAAGAACACCAGUGGCGAAAGCGCUCUACUGGACUGCUACUGACACUCAGGGACGAAAGCUAGGGGAGCGAAUGGGAUUAGAUACCCCAGUAGUC
This 662-nucleotide ribosomal RNA is filed under the name uncultured Oscillatoria sp. RNAcentral's name for it is "bacterial SSU rRNA". It matches the Rfam family "Bacterial small subunit ribosomal RNA", at positions 99 to 795 of the family's 1533-position model. The record is from RNAcentral. Lineage: Bacteria; Bacillati; Cyanobacteriota; Cyanophyceae; Oscillatoriales; Oscillatoriaceae.